Molecule: ribosomal RNA, 201 nt
Filed under: uncultured bacterium
Lineage: Bacteria
Description: partial 16S ribosomal RNA
Rfam family: Bacterial small subunit ribosomal RNA
Source: RNAcentral
GCAGUCUGCAACUCGAGUGCAUGAAGCUGGAAUCGCUAGUAAUCGCGGAUCAGAAUGCCGCGGUGAAUACGUUCCCGGGUCUUGUACACACCGCCCGUCACACCAUGGGAGCCGACAACGCCCGAAGUCAGUGACCUAACCGAGAGGGAGGAGCUGCCGAAGGCGGGGUGGAUAACUGGGGUGAAGUCGUAACAAGGUAUC